This 7308-nucleotide long non-coding RNA is filed under the name Nicotiana tabacum (common tobacco). RNAcentral describes it as "long non-coding RNA (NTAB_LNC003783)". The record is from RNAcentral. Lineage: Eukaryota; Viridiplantae; Streptophyta; Magnoliopsida; Solanales; Solanaceae.
UUCAAAAUACACAUAUCUACUGAUGAAUUAAGGCGAAACAAGUGUGAUUACUGCGUUCAUUUUUACAGACGCGAUGCCAUUGUGGGCCGAGUAUUACUACUAUCCAGCUAACUUCUUACUGAUUUACAUACAACAAUGGACUGGCAGACCAAAUUCCUUAUGGACUGAGAAACUAUCUUAUUACAUAGUUUGAAGGUUAAACUUUACAUGUUAAAUACACCAACAUUCUAAACUAUAAGCAACAGAAUAAAGGUAACCAUGCUCAUGUUUGGACUGCCAUAACCUUGUGCUUUUAUUCAGCUCCAAACGUAUAAUUACAUCGGUGAAUUUAGAACGUGUACCUGGAUGUUUGGACAAUAAGAAAGAGAAGAAGAAAAAUAUCAGCAGCAAGCCACUCGAACAGCAAACACACAGCAACAACCAGCAACAGUACCCAACAACAAUUGUGAACCCCACAAAUGGUCGAGCAACAAGCAAUAAUCCCAGAAACAGGGUAGUGAAAACAGCCGAAUACCCAGAAUGUUCAAUGCAAAUAACCACAGCAAUACAGUAGUCACAAACAGCUCGACCAAUAACCCAAGACAAUUGGCAAAGACAGCUUGACCAGUUUAAAUUCUUAGACAGUUUUCAGACAAUGGUUGGUUCAAUAUCCUGAAAUUUCUUCUGUUAUUCUUUCUUUUUAAGUUUUUCUCACUCACAGAAUCUCUCUGAAGACUAAAGAAUCUCCCCCUUUUAAGUUCUGAAACAACUCUAUUUAUAGGCAGAAAUGGCAAGCACUCAGCUGCCUUGAACCCCUCCCUUCUUUCCUGCCCAUAACUUCUUUUUUUAAACUAAUCAAAAUAUUCCCCAUGCCCAUCCAUUCGACAGGCUUUCAGCCUGUAUUUUCUACCCAACAACAUGGGCACCCCCUUUUUUAUUCAAUCAGCCCCAUGCUAACAAGUUUGGCUCCCCACUAUUACCUUAUUUUAAUCCUAAUCCAGUACCCUAUUUGUCAGCUCAUUUAAACUAAUCAUUUCUGUUCUUUUUAACACCCAAAUUAACCCUGUUAAUCCCUGGUUAUCACUGUCUUGACCCAUUGCAACAAUAGGGCAUUUUUGAACUUCUGAAAGUCCAAAUUCAGAUCUGCCCUGAACUGAAUCUUUUCAGUUGUUUUGCAAUGCAAACAAACUAAUUUCAACCAAUGUCGAGCAUCCAAUUAACAACCAACAGGUUCGUUCACUUACGUGAAGUUGUAUGAAUUAAGAUAUCUGAACAUUCAGUCAUAGGAAACUAAUCGACGAUGUUUAUCAAGUCGACUCUACUAUUUAUAACAAGAAAUAACCGGUCGAUCACAUAAACAACACGUACGGGGUCCCGAAUGGAUUCAACAACUUUGCCGGAUUCCCUAGGUUCUUGUGUUCUAGGGUUUGGAUCUUCAGAUUUGAGAUUCUAGGAGUUGUGGGUAGAUUCGGACCAAACCAGGCUUGGUUUGGUUAUAAGGGUAGUCAGGGGACUGUCUAGUGUGAAUCUGGGGUGGUUUGGUAUAGAUCGAGUCUUGUCUCGAAUCGUCAAAUGAAGAUUCNNNNNNNNNNNNNNNNNNNNNNNNNCAGAAUGAGAGGAUUCGAGCCAAGCUGUAAGUGGAUUCAGAUUCAGGGGGUUGAGGUGCCUCAGGGGUGUAAAGGGGGUGGUCACCGACGUCCUUGCCGCCGGCUUUAAUGGUGAGGGAAAAGGGGGCGGCGUUAGGGUUUCAUGGGGUUCGGGUUUUGGUGAAGAAGACGAGUGAAGGGGUGCUUGGAUAGGGGGGCGUGGGGUAUGAUGAAGGGCUUAUAUACAUAACGGGUAAUUAGAUCCUGGCCGUUGGAUGAAUCGAUAUUGAUGGCCAGGAUCUUUCACUUAAUACGGAACGACAUCGUUUGGCCUUGGUUGGGGGGUCGAUUCGAACUGGUUACUGGGUCGGGUUUGGAAACGGGUUAUUGAAAAGGAAUCCUGGGCCGUUGGAUUGGCCUGGACGGAUGGCUCAAAUUAAAUGGCUCAUACGGCGUCGUUUUGGGGUCGUGCCUGGGCAGGCCUGGUUUGGACCGGAUGGUGCAAUUGAUUUUGGGCCUCAAAAUUUAGAACAAAAAUAGGCCCAGCCCGAUUUCUAAACAAUUUGCACUAAUUCUUUUGUUUUUCUAAUUUUAAACACAAUUAAAAUAAAAUGAAAUCUAAAACAACCAUUAAUUAACACUUAACACAUUUAUCACACACAUAUUAAAAUUUUUAAGUAGGUUAAAUCACAACCUAGAAUAAAAGAUGCAUUCAUAUUUUUUGUGAAUUUUCUUUUAAUGACCGAAUUAUGGUUUAAUUACACACGAUAUACAUAUUUUGUAUUUUUUUUUUGAUAAGAUCAAAUGAAAAACGGACAGAACCACAAAUGACUAACAGCAUACGUCACAAAAAAUCGAAAAAUUGUACAGCGAGGCCAUUUUGCAUUUAUUUUUGAUUUCUUUUUGGAGUGAUUGUCCGUGAAGCAAAAAUCACGUGCUUACACAAAUCACCAUCACAUUCAAGCCUAAGGAUUCCAAAACUUCCGAAUUCCGCAAACGACGUAAAAACCUAUCAAACCUCAUCCGAAUUACCUGAAAUUCUGCACACACGCCACAAAUGACUCAACGGACCUACUCCAAUUUUUGAAAUUCCAAUCCGACCCCGAUAUCAAGAUUUUCACUACGGACGGGAAAAUGCCAAAUUUCUAAUUUCGUCAAUUCAAGCCUAAAUCUACCACGGACCUCCAAAAUAAAUUUCGAACAUGCUCCUAUGUACAAAAUCACUUAACCGAGCUAUCCGAACAAUAAAAACCAAGUUCCGAGAUCAUGUACUCACAAGUCAACUUCCGGUUGACUUUUCCAACUAAAGCUUCCAAAUAAGAGACUAAGUGUCUCAUUCCACUCUAAGCCCACUCCGAACACAACACAACUAAUGCGAUAUGAUUAAAUAUAGCUGAACAACACACAAGGAAGAAAAAUUGGGGGAAACAGAGCGAUAACUCAUGAAAUUACCGGCUAGAUCGUUACAUCCUCCCCCUCUUAACCAAACGUUCGUCCUCGAACGAGUCAAGAAACAUACCUAAAGCCUCAAACAAGUGGAGAUAUCUGCUCCGCAUCUUCCGCUCGGUCUCCUAGGUAGCCUCCUCCAUGGGCCAACCUCUCCACAGCACUUUCACUAAAGUUAUGUCCUUUGAUCUCAACUUUCGAACCUGCCGCUCCAAAAUAGCCACUGGCUCCACAUCAUAAGUCAAAUCACUGUCUAACUGAACCGUGUUGAAAUCCAAAACAUGGGACGGAUCGCCAAUAUACUUUCGGAGCAUAGAAACAUGAAAUACCGGAUGCACACUCGACAAGCUAGGUGGCAAAGCAAGCUUAAAAGCCACCUUCGCAAUCCUUAGAAGCACCCCAAAAGGCCCAAUGAAUCGAGGACUCAAUUUACCCUUCUUUCCAAACCUCAUAACACCCUUCAUGGAUGAAACCUUUAGUAGAACCUUCUCCCCAACCAUGUAAGACACAUCACGAAUCUUCCUGUCAGCAUAACUCUUUUGUCUUGAUUGCGCUGCACGAAGUCGCUCCCGAAUCGCCUUCACUUUGUCCAAAGCAUCCUACACCAAGUCUGUACCCAAAAGUCUAGCCUCACCCGGCUCAAACCAAUCUACUAGAGAUCUAUAUCGUCUCCCAUAUAAAGCCUCAUAUGAAGCCAUCUGAAUACUUGACUAAUAACUAUUGUUAUAUGCAAACUCUACGAGCAGUAGAAAUUAACUCAUGAACCCCCAAAAUCAAUGACACAAGCUCGCAACAUGUCCUCUAAUAUCUAAAUAGUGCGCUCGGACUGCCCGUCCGUUUGAGGGUGAAAAGUUGUUCUCAACUCAACCUGAGUACCCAACUCUCGCUGUACGGCCCUCCAGAACUACGAUGUGAACUGAGUACCUCUAUCUGAAAUGAUGGAAACUGGGACACCAUGCAAGUGAAAAAUCUCUCGGAUAUAAAUUUCUACUAACCGCUCUGAAGAAUAAGUAGUACACAUAGGAAUGAAGUGCGCGGACUUGGUCAGCGGAUCCACAAUCACCCAAAUAGAAUCGAACUUCUUCAAAGUCUGUGGGAGUCCAACUACAAAAUCCAUGGUGAUCCGCUCCCACUUCCACUAUGGAAUAUCUAACCGCUGAAGCAAGCCACCCUGUCUCUAAUGUUCAUAUUUCACCUGCUGACAAUUGAGACACUGACCUACAAAUCCUACAAUAUCCUUCUUCAUUCUUCUCCACCAAUAAUGCUGUCUCAAAUCCUGAUAUAUCUUCACGGUGUCACACCUCCUUUUUCCACCCCAAAAGGGGUAUAGGGGAGUUUUUCCAAUUAAACUAACAAUAACCAAAACAUGAUUAUUUAUUCAAAUUCAGAGUUGCCACUUGGGAUGAUUUAUGGUGUUCCAAGUCACCGGCUUAAAAUCCUGAAUUGAGGAAAGUAGACUCUUAUUUAUAGUCUACAAAUAUAGAAAUCCGAGUAAGGAAUUCUGUUAACCCGGGAGAAGGUGUUAGACAUUCUCGAGUUUCUUGGUUUUAGCACGGUCGCUUAACUAUUAAUAAUUGACCUAAUUAUCUGAUUAAUUCCACAUUUUAAACCUACGUGCAUUCUUUUCAACCUCUUUUAACACUUAUGGAAUUAUUUUACGGAACAAGGCACGAUUGUUGUACACUUGUCAAUUUUGAAAACAUUGCGAAUCACGUCACAUAAAAUGCACCCGCGAUUUACAACAUGUUUAUUUUUAAAUAUUAUUUGAAGUUGUUAUGACCGGGUCACAUGAAAUGCACACCCAAAUUUGGGAAUUAUAUAUCAUGACUAUGCCAUGGGAACCAUACCUAUAAUCAUGAUAGUUAAUUAAUCGCGCUUAAAAUAUUCUACGGAUAUUCAUAAUUAUUCUCCUGAAGCUAAUUUGAAAUUGUAAUUAUUUAAAGUAUAUACUAGGUUAUGGCUACUGUAAUACAUAUCGACCUCUUUUUCAGAAUUUGGGAGUUCUAAUUUUUAAGUUGAAACCACAAAGGAAAGUUUCCACAAACUUCCUCAAACCCCAAAAUCAGCUGAACUAAUAGCCAAGAUUGAAACUUUACAAGAUGGGUCUCAAGGAUUUCUAUUAUUUAGAGCAACAGAAAGACCUUCAGAUUUAACAAAUCCAGAUGUUCACUUUUUGGUAACAACUUGAAGUUUACUUAGUUAAAAAUGACUGUAGCACCUAAAGUAUAGUGUAGCCCCAAUAAUCUUGAAAUAGAACUCUUUGGAAAAAGAGGCAAAGUGCUAAAGCGUAACAACAUACUAAUAAUAAAGAUAACAACAAAAGAUGGAGCGUGAGUUUAGCCAAGAGAUUUCAAAAAAGGGUACAUAUCUUCAGGAAAUAGACAAAUGAACUAAGGCGACGAACAAGGAUGAAAUAAUACCGAAGAGCAACAAUAGCCGAUAUCAUUCAAACGAUUAUCAAUCAACCAAAAGAAAUAAAUCUCUGAAACACAUAAACUAGAACAUGAAUACAAAUCACAGUUGGAUGAAAUACAUGAUGGAUUCAAAGUGAUAAGAACCCUUUAAAAUUCCCUUUAAACCCCAUUCCUGUAUAUCAUCCCUUGACUUUAUUAAAUCCAACUGACAUCGAGACCCAAAGCAAGGUUGUUAGUUAUUCAAGUCCAAUGCACUAGAACAGACUAAACCCCAAAGGGGGAGAUUAGAAUAAAUUACUCACAUGCUCAGACUUAUUCUAUAUGAAUGAAAAGCUUUCCCUACAUACCAAUCCAAGCAUAUUCACAUAGCAUUCAUCACAUUUCAUCACUUUAAGACAUGUAUAAACAAUAUCAUAGAUCUCUGGACAAUGUGAGCAAUGACUAAUGGUGCAACAGUGCACUUCAUCUAGAAUAUUUACUGCUCAAACUAUCCACAGGAUCACACAAUUCACUGAGCGCUCAACUAUCUGAACAUUCUUUCAUGGUCAUUCAAUGAUCAGUCAACAAUUGGCUGUUUCAUAAAUUGACAUGCUUGAGUCUCAGAAGGGGCUAAAGCAAACAAAAGGAAAACUUGAUUUCGCACGAUUAUUAUUGGUUAAGACAUGACCAAGAACUUUGAGGGAAUUAAAACAGACCAUCUUAAAUUGACACGCCUACUCAUUAUACCAUCUCAAUCUCUGACUCAAACAGGAACUAAUUAAAGCUAAACAAUUUAAUAAAUCAAAACCAUACGAAAAUACAUUCUUGUACAAACACAUGAAUAACAGCUUAGGAUUCCAGAGAACUCGAGUGUGAAACAAUAAGAUCAAUUAGUUAUUUAUGCUGCCAAGGGAAGAAUUCCAACAAAUGAGCAAUGAACCUCAUCUUAGACACUCUACAUUCCAUUUGAUUCAAAUUUACUAUUCAUGCGAGAUAGAACGUGUCUCCGCGGGGCAGUAGACACGUUAUAAUGCCCUUUUAGACUAGAUUUCUCACAUAAAUGCAAAACUAAGUAUAGAAAUACUAUUCCGUUUAGUCAGAACUUCUGGAAUUUCAACUCGCAAUAAUGUUCUUCCUUAUCAUAACCAUUAAUUAGAGAAGAUUUUAACGACAACACGAUAAAUUCUGAUUUCUAGUACACUUUGAACACAGAUAUAGUAAUAGAACAUCUCAAUAGAAUUCGAAGAAGCAGAUUUAAUUCAAUCAUUCUGCUAGCUAGGUUCUUAUCCAGUUGAAAUUACACCAAAAUAAAACUAAAGGAAGCGAAGAUGAACCUGAAGCGAGCUUUCAAUUAAUGUUGAAAUAAUUAGCAGAGGUACAAAUGAAUCUGGAUAUGCAAAUUCCAGCAGCGAGCAAAACAUUGAGCAACGACCAAAAAGCUAACCGAACACGAACACAACGGAACAUCAGAUAGAACCUCAACACAUCAAUCGAACUCUAUUUUUAGAACGAAAAUUCAAAGAACAGUAGCUCCAAUUUCAAGAUCAAUCGCAAAAUCAAAAAAGAGAACAGAAUACAUAUUUUUGUUUUGAUUCUGUUUCUAUUCCCUCCUCUUUCUAUCCGUACUCCUCUGUUCCUCUUACUAUGCGUGUCUGUGUGGUUUCCUGGUUUCGGCCAUUUCUGGUGGUGAAGGAGUAGCAGACGGUCUACUGUGAGGUGAAGAAGAAGGAGCGACAACGAGGGGGUGUAUUGGUGUGAGGUUGGCGACAAUGAGUUAGGAGAUGAGGAGUUAAGAGUUGGGGCAUGGUUUGUCACGGCUGUCGCUGGAGUUCAGAAGAAGAAGGUUUUUUGUUUUGGUGUUCUAAUGGUGAAGAAAAAAGUUCGGGGGGGGGGUCCGGUACUUU